UAGGUAAUUUAUAUUAAAAAGUUUAUUUAGCUCAUAGUUCUAGAGGCUGGAAGUCCACAGUGCCGGCAUCUGUGAGGGCCUUCUUGCUGCCUCACCUCAUGGCAGAGGGCAUCACAUGCUCAGAGUGGGAGCAAGGGAGCCAGGGAGAGCUCACAGGCACAAGAAUAACGCUGCUGUGAUAAUAAACCCACUCCUGGGACAGCAACAUUCAUCCCGUCAUGAGAACAGAGCCCUCAUUCAUCCAUUCAUCUCAUCAUAGGGGCAGAAGGAUUACAUUUCUAACACAUGAACUUUUGGGGGACACAUUCAAUACCUAGCACUCCCAAAAUAUUCACUAAGAGUGAGAGUAAAUUGAUUUAAUUUCAGACUGUUCUUGGCAGUCCAUAAGUAGAGAUUUCCAAGUUUUACAAUAGAGAAUUAAAAUGAUUGAAAAAUAUUCUAAAAAAAAAAAAACAACCUGCAGAAGAAAGCUAGAAAAUCAGAAGAUGAAAUAUUUUUUAGGCAUAAAAUAUGCAUGCAGUUUAUAGACAAUGGAGAUGUGCUAACUCUUGAAAACGUGCUUCGACAUCUCAAAUUGCUUAAGGCUUUUGCAACAAAAUAACUUACCAGUGUCAGGCCAUGGUAGAAUAUGAGUUCACAAUGAAUUUUUAUGCCUGGGUUUCUGUGACCCAAGUUAUGCUGAAGAAUAUGAGAGACACCACCUUUUAAAAAUUUUUACAUAGCCUGCGGCCACUGCAAUUCGUUAAUCCCUUUGGAAAAUUGCUUAAGCCUGGCAUGUUUUGUAAUGAACUUUAUCUCUUCACUACCAAAAGUCGUAAAAAGGAACUUCAGUGAGGAAAGAAACACAAUUGAUAAUUGAAUAUUUCAAAGAGAUCAGCAUUUUAGAAAACUGGGCUGCCUCCUGGGUUCAAGCAAUUCUCCUGCCUCAGCCUCCCGAGUAGCUGGGAUUACAGGUUUUUGGAUUGGCUCACAGUUUUCCUACUUUUCUGUCCUGUCAGUUGAGAAGAAUACAUUUCAAGAGAUGCUCUUGGAAAACACGUUUGAUGGAGAGGUUGAUUUUUGUAACCUGUAUGCCGUAGUCAGGAGAGCCGUCCUCUGGCAGAUAUGUGAAAGAACUGCCUAUGAGGAGCGAGAGGCUACUUCGCACACCUCGCAGCUCAGGUCCCCGGAGACGGCUUUACAGGCACACAAGCCCCUCUCCCAAGCCAUCUGCCAGGAGCCCCAUGAGGAACACAGCACAGCGCCUGCAUCAGAAGCCCAUGGGUUUGCCUAUCACAUGUCUUGUUUUCUCCUGAUCCGUGGCUCACAGGCUCAGUGUGACCCAACCUCCUAGAUUUCCCCAUCAGUGCUAUUUGCAGUGCCCCCAAGCACUUUCCUCCACUCCAGUCCCUGAGCGCAUGCCAACGGCCCUAUUUUCAGCCACCCCUCUCCAUGCCUCUUGUCUGUCUCUAGCUGACAAGCAGAUUAUCUCUUCUGUCCACUUUGUUUGCCAAUGUACUUUGGCACCAUUGAAUUCCAACACAUGAAGUAAACUGAACUGUGUACAACGCUGAGCACACACGUGGUUUGGAGAGCAGCCCCUUGUCAGGAUCCAAAAUGUUCCCAAGCCUUGUUGAUAUUUGGGUCACUGCAGAUCUCUGAGUCCCCCUUCCUUUUUAAUCUUCUUCCCCUCAACUCAUUCUCAAUUUCUCUCUCUGAAACCACCUGUGAACACACUUAUGCAUUCAAAUAGAUGCAUACUGUUCAUGCUUAUAUUUUUCUGUAACCGUCAUAUCUAAUAAAUACUUAUCAUCCAGGAAAAAAAU
RNAcentral lists this long non-coding RNA (1805 nucleotides) under Homo sapiens (human). RNAcentral describes it as "long non-coding RNA NONHSAT154997.1". Lineage: Eukaryota; Metazoa; Chordata; Mammalia; Primates; Hominidae. The record is from RNAcentral.